RNAcentral lists this ribosomal RNA (253 nucleotides) under uncultured bacterium. RNAcentral describes it as "partial 16S ribosomal RNA". It matches the Rfam family "Bacterial small subunit ribosomal RNA", at positions 524 to 776 of the family's 1533-position model. The record is from RNAcentral.
GACAGAGGGUGCAAACGUUGCUCGGAAUCACUGGGCGUAAAGGGCGUGUAGGCGGGAAGGAAAGUCAGAUGUGAAAUCCCCAGGCUCAACCUGGGAACUGCAUUUGAAACUCCCUUUCUUGAGUACCGGAGAGGAAAGUGGAAUUCCUGGUGUAGAGGUGAAAUUCGUAGAUAUCAGGAGGAACACCAGUGGCGAAGGCGAGUCCCUGGACAACUCCUGACACUGAGGCACGAAAGCUAGGGGAGCAAACAGG